Molecule: ribosomal RNA, 649 nt
Filed under: uncultured Gammaproteobacteria bacterium
Lineage: Bacteria; Pseudomonadati; Pseudomonadota; Gammaproteobacteria
Description: bacterial SSU rRNA
Rfam family: Bacterial small subunit ribosomal RNA
Source: RNAcentral
UGCAAGUCGAACGGUAACAGGAAACAGCUUGCUUGUUUCGCUGACGAGUGGCGGACGGGUGAGUAAUGUCUGGGAAACUGCCUGAUGGAGGGGGAUAACUACUGGAAACGGUAGCUAAUACCGCAUAACGUCGCCAAGACCAAAGAGGGGGACCCUCGGGCCUCUUGCCAUCGGAUGUGCCCAGAUGGGAUUAGCUUGUUGGUGGGGUAACGGCUCACCAAGGCGACGAUCCCUAGCUGGUCUGAGAGGAUGACCAGCCACACUGGAACUGAGACACGGUCCAGACUCCUACGGGAGGCAGCAGUGGGGAAUAUUGCACAAUGGGCGCAAGCCUGAUGCAGCCAUGCCGCGUGUAUGAAGAAGGCCUUCGGGUUGUAAAGUACUUUCAGCGGGGAGGAAGGGAGUAAAGUUAAUACCUUUGCUCAUUGACGUUACCCGCAGAAGAACACCGGCUAACUUCCGUGCCAGCAGCCCGCGGUAAUACGGAGGGUGCGAGCGUUAAUCGGAAUUACUGGGCGUAAAGCGCACGCAGGCGGUUUGUUAAGUCAGAUGUGAAAUCCCCGGCUCAACCUGGGAACUUGCAUCUGAUACUGGCAACUUGAGUCUCGUAGAGGGGGGUAGAAUUCCAGGUGUAGCGGUGAAAUGCGUA